UGUGUGACCAGGUUCUCUGAAUGGACCCAGAAUACACGCAAUGGGGAGUUCUAGAAGGGAAAGGGGCCGGGCUCGGAGGUAAAAGACACGCUCACCAGAUUGGCAUGGAUCACAGCGAUUCCCUCAAGCCUCCAUCUGCCUGGAAAUGCCUAGUGGUAUAUUCCUCACGGUCCAGAACCUUCAACCUGUGAGCCAGUAGUUUUAGCUAUCCCACCCAGUCACAAACCUUCACCCUGGGGAGGCCACAGAGAGAACAGCGGGAGGCAGAGGCAUCCCCAUUUGAAACUGCAACCAUUCUGAGAUUUCUGACCAACUCCCCAGUGGGAGCUCUGUGUAGGCAGAAGAGAGGCUCUGUCUGUCCUGAGAGGUGGCUUGUACGGCUCCAGAUCACCCCAGCAGUGUGUGUUCUCUUCUGUCCUCUGAAUGCCAAGAGAUGACUCCACUCACUCCUUAAGACAUCUUGAAUUCCUAACUCCAGCUCAUCUGUUUCCCAGAAACCCCAGCAGCUCUAACUCCUAAAGCAUGUUCGCAAAAACAUUCCAGGCUAAAGAUUCUUUGGCUUGUUUUCUGUUGGAUAGUGACUGUUAAUGUCCUUGGGCUUCCUCAUAAAGUACAGGUGUUGGCCCCUGUGCAAGAGCAACUGAGAGUGGAUCUCCUGGCAUUUGGGAGCCACCAAUUCUCAUACUAGUUUAGGAGCUCAGGGAUAUGGAGCUGGGGUGACUGAGAUCUUUGCAUGUAUGUCUUGGGUAAGAUCGGUGAGAGGACAUUCAAUACCUGCCCCCAUGGAGCCACAGGU
Molecule: long non-coding RNA, 796 nt
Organism: Mus caroli (Ryukyu mouse)
Lineage: Eukaryota; Metazoa; Chordata; Mammalia; Rodentia; Muridae
Source: RefSeq, a predicted model, not a curated record